Molecule: non-coding RNA, 731 nt
Organism: Lepisosteus oculatus (spotted gar)
Lineage: Eukaryota; Metazoa; Chordata; Actinopteri; Semionotiformes; Lepisosteidae
Source: RefSeq, a predicted model, not a curated record
UUGUUCCGCGUCUUUUGUGAUUCUUUUUUUAUUUUUCCCUUAUUUUAAUGUAGAUAUAAAUUUAACCAAUGUAAAUAUGUACUUUAUACCUCGCAAAAAGGGUAAAACACGUAUUUUCGUUGGGAGCUAAAUAGCAUUUUUUAAUUCAAGCCACUUGUGUUACACAAACGACGUGUGUAUUCGUUUUACAUCGAAGAAAAGCUCUGUUGUAGCAGUAAAGCCACUGCUGUAUUGGCAGAAUGCAAACGUCAAUUUACGUAUGUAUCUUUAUCUUAAUUUUCGUGAACUCUUGUGCAUUUAUCCAAAACCGAAAAUAGGCUACCUUUAACGUUAAAGAUUUUUAAUCAUUUCUAGAGUAUGUUGUGUGAUUAUGUUCUUAUAUUCCUAGUAAACAUUAUCUGGCAACUAAUGCUUUUUUAGUUUCAGUGGUCGUUAAAUUCUAAAUUCUGCUGUUUUUGUGUUUUCAGUUAAGUGUCCGGGCAGGACACGAGUCGCACUGAAUCAUGGAAGUAUAAACUUUGUUGUCUUCGGGCAGGACACGCUUGGCUCAGCUGCUGGAAUUACCUGUGAAAUGCAACGAAGUUCCAGUCUUCAUUCCGGUCGCUGCCUCGACUAAUAACUCGGAGAAACAGUAACGUGCUGUAUGUUUCUGUGUUUUUUCUUGUAGUUGUUUGCAAAUGUUUUCUUAGUCUGUUGACUUGUAACAGUAUUUAGCGUUAAUGUAGCCGUGC